Molecule: long non-coding RNA, 643 nt
Organism: Cyprinus carpio carpio
Lineage: Eukaryota; Metazoa; Chordata; Actinopteri; Cypriniformes; Cyprinidae
Source: Ensembl
GAAAAACGGACGCAGAGUUUGCCCUGUCUCAUUUAUUUCUCCUGUUUCCAGAUGACCAGGGGAACGCUGCCUGUGUAGCUUCUGGUUCACCUCAUCUCCCAGACUCGGUUACUCAAGGUUUCUGUGUUUCAUCAAGGUGGUGUGUGAAGAGACCAUGGUCUGUGGAGGAGGUACAAGCUGUGAUAAAACAUAUGAGGCCUUUUAUUGAAAAUGGUGUCACUGUCACCAGUGAGCAGUGCCUGAUGUGCAAGGAAAAGGAACAACCUAUCUUGGAGACAAGAUCCAUUCAAAACAUUAGAGAUUUUGUACGCAACAGAGGCUUGGCCUUUAAAAGGCAUUCAAAUGCUAAACACUAAAUGCACUUUUGGACAGCCUGAGCCUUUACCUUUCUAGGCAUGUUUUAAAAGUUGGUGUCCUGUGUUCAGAAAUGGUUUAGGUAACUUCAUUUAUUUUACUCACAGGCUGUGUUUUGUUUUGUUUGUUUUGCUAUGUGGUUAGCCCGGGCCUUUUAAUGUCAGGAUUCACUUAUUUUCCUUUAAUAAUUUUUACAAUGCUGCCCUUUUGUUAAGGAAUUGAUUCUUGAGGUGACUAAAUCAAAUAUAGUUCAUUGAUUCAACAAAUGUUGUGUUGUGUGUUAACAAUG